GAGCCUGAGGAAGAGGGCGGCGGCGGUGGUGGUGACUGAGCGGAGCCCGGUGACAGGAUGUUGGUGUUGGUAUUAGGAGAUCUGCACAUCCCACACCGGUGCAACAGUUUGCCAGCUAAAUUCAAAAAACUCCUGGUGCCAGGAAAAAUUCAGCACAUUCUCUGCACAGGAAACCUUUGCACCAAAGAGAGUUAUGACUAUCUCAAGACUCUGGCUGGUGAUGUUCAUAUUGUGAGAGGAGACUUCGAUGAGAAUCUGAAUUAUCCAGAACAGAAAGUUGUGACUGUUGGACAGUUCAAAAUUGGUCUGAUCCACGGACAUCAAGUUAUUCCAUGGGGAGAUAUGGCCAGCUUAGCCCUGUUGCAGAGGCAAUUUGAUGUGGACAUUCUUAUCUCAGGACACACACACAAAUUUGAAGCAUUUGAGCAUGAAAAUAAAUUCUACAUUAAUCCAGGUUCUGCCACUGGGGCAUAUAAUGCCUUGGAAACGUGAGUAGUAUGGAAUUUGGGGGCUUUAGUAAAAUAAUUGCAUGUGUGACAUUUCGUAAAAGAAAUG
Molecule: small RNA, 555 nt
Filed under: Pongo abelii (Sumatran orangutan)
Lineage: Eukaryota; Metazoa; Chordata; Mammalia; Primates; Hominidae
Description: processed transcript
Source: RNAcentral